RNAcentral lists this small RNA (61 nucleotides) under Shewanella woodyi ATCC 51908. Its description in RNAcentral is "Pseudomonas sRNA P26". It matches the Rfam family "Pseudomonas sRNA P26". From Rfam's summary of the family: P26 is conserved across many Gammaproteobacteria species and appears to be consistently located between the DNA directed RNA polymerase (beta subunit) and 50S ribosomal protein L7/L12 genes. Lineage: Bacteria; Pseudomonadati; Pseudomonadota; Gammaproteobacteria; Alteromonadales; Shewanellaceae. The record is from Rfam by way of RNAcentral.
AAUUUUAACUUACUAGCCUGAGCAAUCAGGCGAGGGCUGGCGGUUUUUUAACCGUCGGCCU